GUCCUUUAGAAUUUAAUUUAAGGUCUGACCUGCCCACUGAAAAUUUUUUAAAUGGCCGCAGUAAUUUGACUGUGCAAAGGUAGCAUAAUCAUUAGUUUUUUAAUUGAAAGCUUGUAUGAAGGGUUGGACGAGGUAAAAUCUGUCUCUAAUAAAUUUAAUUUAGAAUUUAACUUUUAAGUUAAAAGGCUUAAAUAAUAUUAAAAGACGAGAAGACCCUAUAGAUCUUUAUAAUUAAAAUAUUAAAUUUAAUUAGGAAUUUUUAAAAUUUUAUUUAUUUAAUUAUUUUAUUGGGGUAAUAUAAAGAUUUAAUUAAUUCUUUUUUUUUAUUUACAUAGAUUUAUGAAUUUAUGAUCCAGUUGUAUUGAUUAUAAGAUUAAGUUACCUUAGGGAUAACAGCGUAAUUUUUUUAGAGAGUUCUUAUCGAUAAAAAAGUUUGCGACCUCGAUGUUGGAUUAAAGAUUAGUUCAGGUGUAGAAGUUUGAAAAUUUUGGUCUGUUCGACCAUUAAAUCUUUACAUGAUCUGAGUUCAGACCGGUGUAAGCCAGGUCGGUUUCUAUCUUUAAUAAAAUAUAAUAUUUUAGUACGAAAGGACCAAUUAUUUAAUACAAAGUAUUUAAAUUUUGAUUAUUAUUAA
This 634-nucleotide ribosomal RNA is filed under the name Nebria tibialis. Its description in RNAcentral is "partial large subunit ribosomal RNA". It matches the Rfam family "Bacterial large subunit ribosomal RNA", at positions 1829 to 2736 of the family's 2925-position model. Lineage: Eukaryota; Metazoa; Arthropoda; Insecta; Coleoptera; Carabidae. The record is from RNAcentral.